ACCCAACCCAGCUCCCAAGCAACCCAAAGGGCCAGUCUCACUCCCACCAUGCCCACCCCCACAACAGCACCAAGUCUGUUUCCAGGUAGUGGGCAAACAGGAAGUUACCCCAGGCUACCCACCUCCCAGCUGCAAAACCCUUGAACCUGCUUGCCUCAGUAACCAUGGCAAGUCCAGAUGGCUGCCUUAGGAUCAGAUGUAAACCUUGGAGAAACCAGCUGUGGCCAGUAUGUCAAGUUUAAGCAGACAAAUGAAGGUGACCUGUGGUGGGAAUACACAUUUUGAAACUGAAAAGAGAUGGUAUGUGGGGAUGUACGGAGAACUUGUUGGAGUCUCUGUUGUGGACAACGCUUUAUGUGGUUUCAAGCUUCACAUACAAAAAAAAAGAAGGAAAGUGGCAGCACCCAAAAAAGAUCAAAACAAGGCAAGGAUCUCUGCUCUCGACCCAUCUAUUCAAUAUUGAACUAGAGGUCCCAGAUGGUGCAAUAAGGAGUGAACAGACCAGCAUCAGCAUCAAGUUCCUGGUUUCCCAGAAGGAUACUUCUGAGUCACAACAGCAAAACCAGCAGUUGUCCCAAGCACAAGGCUAGGAUUCUCUCACCUUCCUCAGAGGAAUCCAUCAGACAAAAUGAAAGGCAGUUAUAUAAACAUUCAGAGUAAACAUUCAAUUGUCCUUCUGAUUAUGUUGAACACACACACACAUACACACAUGCACACACAAAGUGGUCAGAGGGCAUGGAAGCUUUUCAGGAAAGACUUGUAAAUUUAACAAGCACAACUUCAAACAAAGCGUUUCAUAUUAGACUGCAGAAUCCAGUGAAGAAUCUGCAGGAUUAGUGUUAAUUUAAUAAAUAGUGCUGCUCUGCCCCUCUGUGGGAAUACUGAGAAGUGCAUGAGAAGAUGCACAGAAUUCAGAAUCAACUAAUACAGAUACCAUUAGUUAGAGAAAGAGGCUAAGUACAAAUAAAAUCCAGAGGCUUCUCUUCUAAUACGAAAUCCAUGCCAAAUAUUUAUAUUUUCUGAGUAUAGUGUCACUAGAUGCAAAACGAUAAGAUAUAAAUGACUUGGAACGUGAUUUGCAAAUGUCAGUUUUAAAUUCAUCUACUUUUAAAGUUGAAUUCAAUGUAUCUAUAUACUUAUUUUCUAUUUCUUCCACGUGAAAUGUCACUCGGUGGUGUAUAAAACAUGGUUACAAGUUUAAAAGUGAAACACAGGGAUAACAGUGAUAAUUAACAUUGAUUGAGUGAUUGCUAUAUAUCAGGCACCAGGCAAAUAUUAAUUCUUUUAAUCUUCAUACACAACACUCUGAGGGAGACAGGAAACCUCAUGGUAUACAGGACACCUCAAAGACCUUUAGGUAAAUACAUAAGCCCAAGACCACUUCUCAAGUGAGAGUCAGAAUCCAAGUCCAAGUAUCCUACCUCCCAGUGCAGCAUUUAUUUCACUUACACAAAGAUGUUUGGUUCACAGCCCUGAAGAGAAACCAUUUACCAGACUAACCUUGAUUAAGAAAUGUCUAUCAAAACUGAAUAAACAGAAAGUAUUGCAACUGCAUCUGACAAUUACAUGUUUUCUUCCUACUGUUUUUAAUAUUGAAAGAAAAAGAUGCUGACAAAAUUAUGAAAAAAAAGCAUGACAAUUAUUUAUUCCAUUAUAUAUUAAGCAGGCUCACUUUAAAAUAAGUUGAUUAGCAUUAAAGUCUUAUCUGAAGGCCCA
RNAcentral lists this long non-coding RNA (1716 nucleotides) under Homo sapiens (human). Its description in RNAcentral is "HSALNT0094324". The record is from RNAcentral. Lineage: Eukaryota; Metazoa; Chordata; Mammalia; Primates; Hominidae.